This 499-nucleotide ribosomal RNA is filed under the name uncultured bacterium. RNAcentral's name for it is "bacterial SSU rRNA". It matches the Rfam family "Bacterial small subunit ribosomal RNA", at positions 8 to 507 of the family's 1533-position model. The record is from RNAcentral.
AGAGUUUGAUCAUGGCUCAGGAUGAACGCUAGCGGGAGGCCUAACACAUGCAAGCCGAGCGGUAUUGUUUCGUUCGGAAAUGAGAGAGCGGCGUACGGGUGCGGAACACGUGUGCAACCUACCUUUAUCUGGAGGAUAGCCUUUCGAAAGGAAGAUUAAUACUCCAUAAUAUAUUGAUUGGCAUCAAUUGAUAUUGAAAGCUCCGGCGGAUAAAGAUGGGCACGCGCAAGAUUAGCUAGUUGGUGAGGUAACGGCUCACCAAGGCGAUGAUCUUUAGGGGCCUGAGAGGGUGAUCCCCCACACUGGUACUGAGACACGGACCAGACUCCUACGGGAGGCAGCAGUGAGGAAUAUUGGUCAAUGGGUGCAAGCCUGAACCGGCCAUCCCGCGUGAAGGACGACUGCCCUAUGGGUUGUAAACUUCUUUUGUAUAGGGAUAAACCUACUCUCGUGAGAGUAGCUGAAGGUACUAUACGAAUAAGCACCGGCUAACUCCGUG